Molecule: ribosomal RNA, 511 nt
Filed under: Pimelia boyeri
Lineage: Eukaryota; Metazoa; Arthropoda; Insecta; Coleoptera; Tenebrionidae
Description: partial 16S ribosomal RNA
Source: RNAcentral
UGUAAAAUUUCAAAGGUCGAACAGACCUAAAAUUUUAGCUCCUACACCAAAAUUUAAUUUUAAUCCAACAUCGAGGUCGCAAACUUUUUUAUCGAUAAGAACUCUCCAAAAAAAAUUACGCUGUUAUCCCUAAGGUAAUUUAAUCUUGUAAUCCAAAAAAAAGGAUCAAAUACUCAUAAAUCAAUGUUACAAACAAAAAAAAGUUCCCCAAAUUUUUCCAUCGCCCCAACAAAAUAAUUAAAUAAAAAUAAAAAAAUAAAUCCAACAACUUCUAUAUCUAAUUAAUUAUAAAACUCUAUAGGGUCUUCUCGUCUUUAUAAAAAAUUUAAGCUUUUUCACUUAAAAUUGAAAUUCUAAAACACUUAUAUAGAGACAGUUAUUUUCUCAUCAAACCUUUCAUUCCAGCUUUCAAUCAAAAAACUAAUGAUUAUGCUACCUUUGCACAGUCAAGAUACUGCGGCCAUUCAAAAAUCAUUGGGCAGGCCAGACUUUAAAUCAAAAUCAAAAAGAC